This 1083-nucleotide ribosomal RNA is filed under the name Bacillus sp. PVL01. RNAcentral describes it as "bacterial SSU rRNA". It matches the Rfam family "Bacterial small subunit ribosomal RNA", at positions 41 to 1109 of the family's 1533-position model. Lineage: Bacteria; Bacillati; Bacillota; Bacilli; Caryophanales; Bacillaceae. The record is from RNAcentral.
GGCAUGCGCUGCUAUAAUGCAAGUCGAGCGAAUGGAUUAAGAGCUUGCUCUUAUGAAGUUAGCGGCGGACGGGUGAGUAACACGUGGGUAACCUGCCCAUAAGACUGGGAUAACUCCGGGAAACCGGGGCUAAUACCGGAUAACAUUUUGAACUGCAUGGUUCGAAAUUGAAAGGCGGCUUCGGCUGUCACUUAUGGAUGGACCCGCGUCGCAUUAGCUAGUUGGUGAGGUAACGGCUCACCAAGGCAACGAUGCGUAGCCGACCUGAGAGGGUGAUCGGCCACACUGGGACUGAGACACGGCCCAGACUCCUACGGGAGGCAGCAGUAGGGAAUCUUCCGCAAUGGACGAAAGUCUGACGGAGCAACGCCGCGUGAGUGAUGAAGGCUUUCGGGUCGUAAAACUCUGUUGUUAGGGAAGAACAAGUGCUAGUUGAAUAAGCUGGCACCUUGACGGUACCUAACCAGAAAGCCACGGCUAACUACGUGCCAGCAGCCGCGGUAAUACGUAGGUGGCAAGCGUUAUCCGGAAUUAUUGGGCGUAAAGCGCGCGCAGGUGGUUUCUUAAGUCUGAUGUGAAAGCCCACGGCUCAACCGUGGAGGGUCAUUGGAAACUGGGAGACUUGAGUGCAGAAGAGGAAAGUGGAAUUCCAUGUGUAGCGGUGAAAUGCGUAGAGAUAUGGAGGAACACCAGUGGCGAAGGCGACUUUCUGGUCUGUAACUGACACUGAGGCGCGAAAGCGUGGGGAGCAACAGGAUUAGAUACCCUGGUAGUCCACGCCGUAACGAUGAGUGCUAAGUGUUAGAGGGUUUCCGCCCUUUAGUGCUGAAGUUAACGCAUAAGCACUCCGCCUGGGGAGUACGGCCGCAAGGCUGAAACUCAAGGAAUUGACGGGGGCCCGCACAAGCGGUGGAGCAUGUGGUUUAAUUCGAAGCAACGCGAGAACCUUACCAGGUCUUGACAUCCUCUGAAAACCCUAGAGAUAGGGCUUCUCCUUCGGGAGCAGAGUGACAGUGGUGCAUGGUUGUCGUCAGCUCGUGUCGUGAGAUGUUGGGGUAGUCCCGCACGAGCGCACCCUGAUCU